This 263-nucleotide ribosomal RNA is filed under the name uncultured archaeon. Its description in RNAcentral is "partial 16S ribosomal RNA". It matches the Rfam family "Archaeal small subunit ribosomal RNA", at positions 718 to 982 of the family's 1478-position model. The record is from RNAcentral.
AGUCACUGACAUUAGAUACCCCGGUAGUCCCAGCCGUAAACAAUGUGCGUUAGGUGUGUCGGUAACCACGUGUUACUGAUGCGCCGAAGAGAAAUCGUGAAACGCACCACCUGGGAAGUACGGUCGCAAGGCUGAAACUUAAAGGAAUUGCGGGGAGCACCACAACAGGUGGAGCCUGCGGUUUAAUUGGAUUCAACGCCGGACAUCUCACCGGAUAAGACAGCUGAAUGAUUGUCAAUCUGAAGGUUUUACAUGACUAGCUG